This 1311-nucleotide long non-coding RNA is filed under the name Sus scrofa (pig). Its description in RNAcentral is "lncRNA (ENSSSCG00015050483.1)". Lineage: Eukaryota; Metazoa; Chordata; Mammalia; Artiodactyla; Suidae. The record is from RNAcentral.
AGUGUCCUUUCUAUUAGGGCAGGAAGUGCAUGGUCGCUUUCCUAGCAUGUAACCGCCACUGAUUCCUGGAAUAAACCCCCCUGAGUCGGGGAGAAAGACAUUGUGCUGGACCCUUGGAGGUUCUCUGGCUGAUCUAAGAGUUAAACUGACAUAAGACAGAUGACCAGGAGUUUAAGAGCCUGUACACAUGGGAGAGACCCAGGAAAACUGAGCAAGUCACCCAAGGACCAAAGCCCUUCCCUGAAAUUCCAUCCUCCUCUAAAGACACAAGAGGGUGUGAAGGGUGGGAAGUUAGUUAUGUGGGGGGGCGGGGGGGUGACCCGGAAAAGCCGUCUCCCCUUCAGUAAGGCUUGGGCAAGAGUGGCAGCCUGUAAGCAUUUUUUACCAAUCCUUCUGAAUUAUUAAAAAAAAAAAGUCAGAGUUCCCUGUGGCUUAAGGACCUGGCUUUGUCGCUGCUGUGGCUUGGGUCGCUGCUGUGAUGCAGGUUCGAUCCCUGGCCCAGGAACUUCCACGUGCCAUGGGUGUGGCCAAAAAAAGAAAAAAAAAAUCAUUGUAGCUCAACAUACAUGAAUCAAAGUGUGGAGAGCAUGGGCCCAGAGUUUGAUGAAUUUUUGCAACGCGGAUGCACCUGUGCAACGGUACCCAGACCAUUCCCCCCGCCAAAGCCCCUGUGGCCUGUCAGUAAUCUCCCCAAUAAAAGCCUGGUCUCGGCUUUCAGCUGCACAGUAGUGGACUGAAUGCCUUCCACCAGACAGAGCCAGGCGCCAGUCUCCAGAACAGGGGGGGACCGUCAGCUUAUUUGGAAACGAAGGCUUUGUAGAUGUAAUUAAGAAUCUGGAGGGGAGACCGUUCUGGGUCAGCUGGGUGAGGCCCAAGUCCAGUGACAAGUCUGCGCAGGGACAGAGGACGGGAAGGCACGGACGCAGAGCAGAAGGCCCUGUGCCGUGGAGGCCGAGACUGGAGGGAGGUGACCAUGAGCCACGGGCAGCCCAGAGCCACGGGGAGCCCAGAGCCCCAGAAGCGGGAAAAGGCAGUGAUGUUCUCAGAGAGGGCAGCCGUACGUUCACCCUGACUUUGGACUCCUGGUUUCCAGACUAUAAGAGAAUGGACUUUACUUGUUUGUUUGUCUAUUUAUUUAUUUUUUGGUCUUUUUAGGGCCGCACCUGCGGCAUAUGGAGGUUCCCAGGCCAGAGGUCGAAUCAGAGCUACAGCUGCCGGCCUACACCAGAUCUGAGCUGCAUCUGCGACCUACACCCCAGCUCAUGGCCACGCUGGAUCCUUAAUCCACUGAGUGAGGCCAGGGAUGGAACC